GCGGUGAGAGUGGCGAACGGGUGAGUAAUGCGUGACCGACCUGCCCCAUGCUCCGGAAUAGCUCCUGGAAACGGGUGGUAAUGCCGGAUGUUCCACAUGAUCGCAUGUGAUUGUGGGAAAGAUUCUAUCGGCGUGGGAUGGGGUCGCGUCCUAUCAGCUUGUUGGUGAGGUAACGGCUCACCAAGGCUUCGACGGGUAGCCGGCCUGAGAGGGCGACCGGCCACAUUGGGACUGAGAUACGGCCCAGACUCCUACGGGAGGCAGCAGUGGGGAAUAUUGCACAAUGGGCGCAAGCCUGAUGCAGCGACGCCGCGUGAGGGAUGAGGCCUUCGGGUUGUAAACCUCUUUUGUUUGGGAGCAAGCCUUCGGGUGAGUGUACCUUUCGAAUAAGCGCCGGCUAACUACGUGCCAGCAGCCGCGGUAAUACGUAGGGCGCAAGCGUUAUCCGGAUUUAUUGGGCGUAAAGGGCUCGUAGGCGGCUCGUCGCGUCCGGUGUGAAAGUCCAUCGCUUAACGGUGGAUCUGCGCCGGGUACGGGCGGGCUGGAGUGCGGUAGGGGAGACUGGAAUUCCCGGUGUAACGGUGGAAUGUGUAGAUAUCGGGAAGAACACCGAUGGCGAAGGCAGGUCUCUGGGCCGUCACUGACGCUGAGGAGCGAAAGCGUGGGGAGCGAACAGGAUUAGAUACCCUGGUAGUCCACGCCGUAAACGGUGGACGCUGGAUGUGGGGCACGUUCCACGUGUUCCGUGUCGGAGCUAACGCGUUAAGCGUCCCGCCUGGGGAGUACGGCCGCAAGGCUAAAACUCAAAGAAAUUGACGGGGGCCCGCACAAGCGGCGGAGCAUGCGGAUUAAUUCGAUGCAACGCGAAGAACCUUACCUGGGCUUGACAUGUUCCCGACGACGCCAGAGAUGGCGUUUCCCUUCGGGGCGGGUUCACAGGUGGUGCAUGGUCGUCGUCAGCUCGUGUCGUGAGAUGUUGGGUUAAGUCCCGCAACGAGCGCAACCCUCGCCCCGUGUUGCCAGCACGUUAUGGUGGGAACUCACGGGGGACCGCCGGGGUUAACUCGGAGGAAGGUGGGGAUGACGUCAGAUCAUCAUGCCCCUUACGUCCAGGGCUUCACGCAUGCUACAAUGGCCGGUACAGCGGGAUGCGACAUGGCGACAUGGAGCGGAUCCCUGAAAACCGGUCUCAGUUCGGAUCGGAGCCUGCAACCCGGCUCCGUGAAGGCGGAGUCGCUAGUAAUCGCGGAUCAGCAACGCCGCGGUGAAUGCGUUCCCGGGCCUUGUACACACCGCCCGUCAAGUCAUGAAAGUGGGCAGCACCCGAAGCCGGUGGCCUAACCCCUUGUGGGAUGGAGCCGUCUAAGGUGAGGCUCGUGAUUGGGACUAAGUCGUAACAAGGUA
RNAcentral lists this ribosomal RNA (1404 nucleotides) under metagenome. RNAcentral's name for it is "bacterial SSU rRNA". It matches the Rfam family "Bacterial small subunit ribosomal RNA". The record is from RNAcentral.